RNAcentral lists this transfer-messenger RNA (372 nucleotides) under Terrimonas ferruginea. RNAcentral's name for it is "Standard tmRNA". It matches the Rfam family "transfer-messenger RNA". Rfam says of the family: Bacterial tmRNA, also known as 10Sa RNA or SsrA, is named for its dual tRNA and mRNA-like properties. Its role is to liberate the mRNA from a stalled ribosome. To accomplish this part of the tmRNA is used as a reading frame that ends in a translation stop signal. RNAcentral also lists the same sequence under 2 other names. The record is from RNAcentral. Lineage: Bacteria; Pseudomonadati; Bacteroidota; Chitinophagia; Chitinophagales; Chitinophagaceae.
GGGGGUGUUUGGCUUUGACAGCGUAGGUCUUUGAAAGUGUAAGCAUGUCGUGCGUUGGAUAAUUAGCACGUAAAUCUGAAUAUUCAAACUUCAAAUGGCAAUACUCAGUAUGCCAUGGCUGCCUAAUCAGUGAUUAGUUAGUCAUUAGGGCCGCCGGGCCGGUUGGUCUGUUACCAUGCCCCGCCGCCGACUUAAAAACAAAACAGGCUGCGAUAACCGGAAGCUGUAAAGGUUAUCUAAGACCCAUAGCUAAGUGAUCAGUUGGUUUGUUCAUUUCCUGCUGAUCGCCGACAAUUAAUAGAUGAAAUAAGCAUGUAGAAAGCUUUUGGGGAAUACGUUUGGACACCGGUUCGAACCCGGUCACCUCCACCA